GUCGGGCACGUGUCUGUAAGCGUCUGGGAGACGUAGGCUGAAGGGCUGCUUGAGCUCGGGGAUUCGGUGCUGCAGUGUGCUAUGUUGAAUAGGGGUCCUUCACACGGCCAACAUGAUGAGUUCCAGGGAGCAGGAGGUCACCAGGUUGUCUGAUGGGUGAACCAACCCAGGCUGGUAAAAAAAAAACACUCUGUGUUGGAAGGUGUGGGGACAGCCCCUGUGAAUAGAACCUGCAGUGUUCCCUGUGCAAGACAGCUGAAUGCAGCCUUUA
This 271-nucleotide signal recognition particle RNA is filed under the name Oncorhynchus kisutch (coho salmon). RNAcentral describes it as "Metazoan signal recognition particle RNA (ENSOKIG00005003266.1)". It matches the Rfam family "Metazoan signal recognition particle RNA". Rfam says of the family: The signal recognition particle (SRP) is a universally conserved ribonucleoprotein. It is involved in the co-translational targeting of proteins to membranes. Lineage: Eukaryota; Metazoa; Chordata; Actinopteri; Salmoniformes; Salmonidae. The record is from Rfam by way of RNAcentral.